CCUACGGGCGGCAGCAGUGAGGAAUAUUGGUCAAUGGGCGGAAGCCUGAACCAGCCAAGUAGCGUGCAGGAUGACGGCCCUACGGGUUGUAAACUGCUUUUAUACGGGAAUAACGCGCCUUACGUGUAGGGCUUUGCAUGUACCGUAUGGAUAAGGACCGGCUGAUUCCGUGCCAGCAUCCGCGGUAAUACGGAAGGACCGGGCGUUAUCCGGGUUUUUUGGGUUUAAAGGGGGCGUAGGCCGCAUGUCAAGCGUGCUGUGAAAUGUCCGGGCUCAACCCGGGCCUGGCAGCGCGAACUGGCGUGCUUGAGUCCGCGGAAAGCAGGCGGAAUUCGUGGUGUAGCGGUGAAAUGCUUAGAUAUGACGAAGAACCCCGAUUGCGAAGGCAGCAUGCUGCAGCGGAACUGACGCUGAUGCUCGAAAGCGCGGGUAUCGAACAGGAUUAGAUACCCUUGUAGUC
Molecule: ribosomal RNA, 460 nt
Filed under: uncultured bacterium
Lineage: Bacteria
Description: partial 16S ribosomal RNA
Rfam family: Bacterial small subunit ribosomal RNA
Source: RNAcentral